GAUGAACGCUGACAGAAUGCUUAACACAUGCAAGUCUACUUGAACUUCGGUUUGGGUGGCGGACGGGUGAGUAACGCGUAAAGAACUUGCCUCACAGUUAGGGACAACAUUUGGAAACGAAUGCUAAUACCUGAUAUUAUGAUUUUAGGGCAUCCUAAAAUUAUGAAAGCUAUAUGCGCUGUGAGAGAGCUUUGCGUCCCAUUAGCUAGUUGGAGAGGUAACGGCUCACCAAGGCGAUGAUGGGUAGCCGGCCUGAGAGGGUGAACGGCCACAAGGGGACUGAGACACGGCCCUUACUCCUACGGGAGGCAGCAGUGGGGAAUAUUGGACAAUGGACCAAAAGUCUGAUCCAGCAAUUCUGUGUGAACGAUGACGUUUUUCGGAAUGUAAAGUGAUUUCAGUUGGGAAGAAAAAAAUGACGGUACCAACAGAAGAAGUGACGGCUAAAUACGUG
Molecule: ribosomal RNA, 454 nt
Filed under: uncultured bacterium
Lineage: Bacteria
Description: partial 16S ribosomal RNA
Rfam family: Bacterial small subunit ribosomal RNA
Source: RNAcentral